GCCUCUGUGGCGCAAUCGGCUAGCGCGUUCGGCUGUUAACCGAAAGGUUGCUGGUUCGAGCCCACCCGGAAACG
Molecule: transfer RNA, 74 nt
Filed under: Cordylochernes scorpioides
Lineage: Eukaryota; Metazoa; Arthropoda; Arachnida; Pseudoscorpiones; Chernetidae
Description: tRNA-Asn
Rfam family: tRNA
About the family: Transfer RNA (tRNA) molecules are approximately 80 nucleotides in length. Their secondary structure includes four short double-helical elements and three loops (D, anti-codon, and T loops).
Source: RNAcentral